This is a long non-coding RNA of Homo sapiens (human), 5537 nucleotides long. RefSeq lists it as uncharacterized. The record is from RefSeq and is a predicted model, not a curated record. The transcript is spliced from 2 exons. NCBI's taxonomy places the organism in Eukaryota, Metazoa, Chordata, Mammalia, Primates, Hominidae.
CCUGAUCUUGUGAUCUGCCUACCUCGGCCUCCCAAAGUACUGGGAUUACAGGCGUGAGCCACUGCGUCCGGCCUGGACUAUGGUUUUUAAUCACUUCAUGUUCUCAUCAUUCUUUUUUGAUGUAAUAUUCAAAUGUCCUUGUACCGUUUAAAGCUUUGUGUCUGGAACAUAACUUAAUAUAUUUGAAAGGUAGAAUUAAGCUGGCGCUAUCCACCAUUUGUCCUGGACCUUAUGUUUCCAUUAAAGCAGCCUGAGAUCACCACAUCCCAUGGUUGACCAUUAAGUGGCAGCAUCCAUCUUUUUUUUACCAUCAUUCCAUAGUUAACUGGCUGAUUACUGAACCUCAGUUCAAAAUUCCUAAUUUAUUCUUAAUCCUUUUUAUCAUUCCAGUCUGUUGAGAUUUUUGGGGGGAUCUUGUUUCUAUCAGCCAAUUUAUUAAAUCUGAGAAUGGUAGAGCAUGAGGGCUUCUCUAGAAAUGUAGCUAAAGUAACUUCAGGAUACACAAAAAUGUAGAAAGUGAAUGAAGCAGUAACCUUAUGGAACCUAGUACUCAAGAGAUUGAUAUAGACUGAAAAUAUUAGUGAGCUUAAUAUGGAUCAAGGAGAGAUUAAAAGAUAUUUAGGAAAUUAUUCAACUUUUAAAUACAGUGUCCUAACCUUGUCCUGACAACACCACUGAGUAUCCUCACUGACAUACCUCAGAACAGAAACUGCGCAAACCAACACAUGCAAGGUCAUAACGGACACUCUAGCCUUCAUAGGCAAGGUGGCCUUGCCUGAUCUGGUUAUGGUCAGGCAAGAGGUCUUUUUUUUUUUAAUUAAAUACUUAUUUUUUAACAUGCAGGAAAACAGCUGGCUUCAUGCUCCAUGAAAUAUGUAGCUUCAGUUGAAUUCUCUUUUUUUAGAAGAAUUUUUAGAUCCAGUACUUUGUUUUCUUUAUCGGUGAAAGAGCAAUCAAUGCCUAGAUAUCUAUCUAUGAGCCCAAACUAUAAUGACUCUCAAAGACUCCCAGAUUUAUACCUUCUGGUGACCCCAUGAUUUAUAGUAACUCAUCCACUCCUGCCAUUCUAUGGGCUUUCACUGCUGCUUUAUUGAAACAGGAGUACUGACAGAAACUUUAUGCACUUGGAGGUUUUUAGGCUAUUUAAUUAGUCACUCAUUUCUAGAUCUUCAAAGGGCUGUAUGUGUGUGUGUUUGCAUGUGUGUGUGUUUUCUCGUUAGUCACACUGGCUCUUGUUGGAUUUGUGUGUGUUUUUGUUUGUUUGUUUUUUUUUUUUUCCAUUUGCACAAGGUCACAUUCAGAGCUCUUCCUCCCUUAGGAGAGGUUGCACAUUCGUCACUUCAUCUGCCUCCCAUUUCCUCCAGUUGGGAUCACACAGCCCUUCCUGAGACUAAGCUGAAAGCGUUUCCUCUCACCGGAGAGAGGGCCCUGCACAGCUGGGGGCCAGGCUGCUCAGCUCAAGCAAAAGCUGUCCCAAGAGGAACAAGUCACCAGCCAAGGAAGUCUGGAAGCUCAGAGAGGAAUUCAUUGAGGCCUUUACGGGCAGCAGCGGUCAGAACUAGGAUCAUAGACUGGGCCAUGAAGCUCGGUAAUUUAUUUGAUUAAUAGGAAGGACUAGACCGGAGACACCUAGAUUUUUGCAAAUAUAUUUUUCAAAUUGUGCAUAUAUUUACUGAAACUCUGUGUGGUUUUCAACAGCUUGGGUGUCUAAUCUUUCGCCCCAUAUUCCCAGCCUUCUAAAGCACUCCUGGCAGUAUUAAGAACUGGCCGGGCAUGGUGGCUCACACCUGUAUCCCAGCACUUUGGGAGGCUGAGGCGGGUGGAUCACAAGGUCAGGAGUUCAAGACCAGCCUGGCCAACAUAGUGAAACUAUGUUUCUACUAAAAAUACAAAAAAUAAUUAGCCAGGCCUGGUGGCAGGCACCUAUAAUCCCAGCUACUUGGGAGGCUGAGGCAGGAGAAUCACUUGAACUCGGGAGGCAGAGGUUGCAGUGAGCUGAGAUCACGCCACUGCACUCCAGCCUGGGUGACACAGUGAGACUCUAUCCCAAAAAAAAAAAACAAAAAAAAACUUCAGAACUUGGUUGAUCCUUGAAUCAUUUAUCUGUAGGUGACCUGUCAUCUGAAAGUGUGGCAGAGUUUUUCAGCAGCCUAUUAAUGUGCUUCUGGUAUAUGUCCUUCUUCGUCUUCUUUCUCCCUGGUACCUAGGGCACUUCAGAUGGGAACAGAAAUAAAGACUCAAAGUACAAUCUUUCCAUAUCCAAUGACUGUAUAAUUUAGCCCUAGGGUAAGGAAGACAGCCAGGAGAGGGGCAAGUAGGACCAGAGAGGACUGGGUAGAGGGAGUGGGGUCCUUAAAUCUGCCAUGAGGAAUAAGGAAUAGAGUAGAAGGGACUCAGUCAGGGCUGGGCUGUCUUUAAAGGUAAGCUCCACCUUACCACCAUCACCACCCCAUACCCUGUGCAGUCCUGGGUCCAGUGGCCCUGCAUAUCUCUAAGCCCUUGAAAUAAAGGUGGGCAACUUACCUGGACAAUUUAUAUGAGGAUAUGGGUAUGAUGAGGAAUACCUCUGCCUCCAAAUAAGAUGGAACUAAUUAGAGCUAGUUGGGAAUCUUUCUACAAGCUGGGCCAAAUGAUGGAUCCACCAGGAAGGCUGUCUCAGUUAUUAACCUUCUUAAAUGUAGGGACUGGUUGUUGUUGAAGACUAUAAAAAGCUGCAAUAGAAGAGAAAAAUUAAUGUAGUGGUCCGUGGAAUACAGAAGUCACAGUUUUUGAGGCAAAAUAUUCCGGAGUUUCUUCAUUUAAAAUAUGUAAGUCCAGUGUUGAUAUCCCUCUCUGUUCAAUCUGUACUCUCCUUGGGCAGUGUCUUCUAACUCCUUGGCCUUGUAGCCACUGGUGACUUCACAUGCUGGAUCUCUCUCCUGAGCUUCAGAUUUAGACAGUCUACUCCAUACUUGACAUGAGAAUUGCACAUGUGCUCAGACUGACCCAAAGGUAAUUCAUCCUUUACUCUGCUUGCCCUCUAGCCAAGGCCUCUUGGGUUACCCAUUGUAGUCACCAUUUACUUGGUCACUCAUGCCAGAAAAAUCAGUUAUCUUUGACUCUUUUCUUUCCUGUACUACCACCACUCCCCCUACCCCACCCCAUUCAUUUUGCCUCAGAAAUAUCUCUUCAUUCUGUCCACAUCUCUUUAUCUCUUUGGCCACCAAACUAGUCCAGGCUACCAUCUUUUUUUUUCAUCUAGCUACUACACUGGUCCUCUGACUGGCCUCUUGGCCUGGUUCAUUUCUCCUUGCAGUCCAUUCUCUAUAUACCAGUUUGCAUAAUGUGUCUAAAAAUAUGAUCUGAUCAUGUUUCUUGCCUGCCCAAAAGCUUUGAGUGGCUUCCUAUUGCAUUUCAGAUAAGAUCUAAAGUCCAACUCCAGCCUUGCUUGCUCCUUCCAGCCUCACCAGGGCAGAUAUGUCUUUCCACUUCACUUUUGUUUCCUCAGCACCUAGAACAAUGUCUAGCACAGGGUUGCCAUCCAUAAAUAGUGGUUGCAUAGAAGAAUGAAUGAACACAUGAAACACAGGAUUUCUAUGCAUUUGAGGAGAAUUAAGGAGAAUGGAGAAUGAGUGAAAGUCAGUAUGAAAACCUCUCAGUUCUUGUUCUAAGACUAAAAUGUUUUGAUUCCAGGACUGGCAGAGUUCAAUAUACUUGAGCAAGCAUUAUACAAACUGUAAGGAAUGGGACGGUCUCCAUUAUUCUGCCCCAUGGGCUCCUAUUCUAGGUGUGGGCAGCAUGUUGCCGGUGAGGUUGUCUACAGUGACUGGGCACUGACAGGUUUACAAGGUAAAGAGAAGAAAAGGCAAUUGGUAAGUUUAGUGUAGGGAUAAUUUGGUUUGGUUUGUUUUGUUUUUUCUGACCAGCAUCCAUUUCACGUCCUAACAAUACCCCAAUUUCCUUUUAAAGGAAGAUCUCUUUCCCGUUGGAUUUAGUCUUUGGGGGCUGUCAUUAAAAGCCUUCCUUCCCUUGAGGCCCACAUUAGGCCAAUCAAAUGCUUUCCCCCUAGAAUUAAACUCUUGAGCACAGAGACCAAGAAACUUAAAACAUUUGCUGUGUGGAGGUGACCUACCAGCCAUACCAUGCCUGCUAUGAGACUGCGGUAGUGGUUCCUGGUGACCAGUCACCCAUUAAUUAGCACAACAAUGGACUCCAAAUAGUCUCCUAAUAAAUUUCUUUUUCCAUAGUUUGGUCACAGUUCUUUCUGUUACUUGCAACUCCUAGUGUGAUAAAUUUGGUACAAAAUCAACAGAAUAUAGUUCUGGCCAACACAUACCAGGGCCUGUAUGGGGGUGGGGAGUCAGGGGAGGGAACUUAGAGGACGGGUCAAUAGGUGCAGCAAACCACCAUGGCACACGUAUACCUAUGUAACAAACCUACAUGUUCUGCACAUGUAUCCUAAGUUUGUUGUUUUUUUUUUUUUUAGAAGAAAUAAAGGAAACAAAAGUAAAAAAAGAAUAUAGUUCUGGCAUCUUUCAAUACUUUUGGCCAAAAACAAUUAUAUGAAUCCCAGAAUAAACAUCAGAUGUAAUUUGACUUUGGGAGUUCAAUUAUGACUGAUUUUCCUAAUAUGGAGAUAUGUAACAUUCCAAUGUGAAUCUUCUUAGAAAUUAGUAGUUCAAAAUAUCACUAUUUGGAUUGGUCAUUUAUAUCUAAAAGAAAUAAAUCAAAAACCACACUUUCAGCUCUUUUAUUGUAGCCAUAGUAAAAGGAGAGACUGAAAAUGAGCUCAAUCUUACUACUGAUCAGGUAACUAUAAAUCAAAAUAAAUAGCAUGCUCUUGCCAAUCAGUUCUGUCAAAAUUAAAAACACUGACAGUGUCCACUGUUGGUGAGAAUGUGAACAAAGGACAAUCUUUGUUGGUAGAAUGGUAAUUGGUCAAUCUUUCUGGAAAGCAGUGUGGCAGUGCCUAUCAAAAUUCAACAUGUAUACUCUUUAACUCAGCUGUUCUACUGUUAGAAAUAAGAGCCAAAGGACACAGGCAUAAGAAUCUGAUGCAGUAUUAAUUUAUUCUAUCAAAAUAUUAGAAACAAUGUAAAUGCUACUUACUAGGCUGAAUACAUUAAUGUAUAUUUUUACUAUGAUUUCAUGAUUCACUCUACAGCCAUUAAAAAGAGUGUGGUUGGUCUGUAUAUAAGUAGAAUCUACAAUAUAUUAGUUACAAAAACCAGUUACAGAAAAAUGUGAGUAGAAAAAUUCUUUUUUAAAAAACAAAGCUAUACACAGACUUUUUAUGGUAUGUGUAUGUGUAAAUACGUCUAAAUGUGCAUAGGAAAGAUCCAGAAGGAUUCAUACUGAACAACUGCCAGUGGUUACUCGUGAGGAAUGGGAGAGGAGCAAUGGAAUGGGAGAAUAGAGGGAAAGAAAGGGAAGCUUGAUUUUAUAUUUUAUGUAUUUUGAUAUUAUUUGAAUUGUUAUUGCCUUUAUAUUACUGCUGUAGUUUUAUUUUUUAAUUAUUUUUGUAAUUGUAAAAAUAAAUAAAUAAAUAAUGAAGACUA